CUAUUAUUUUCUCCAAUAACUAACCAAAUUCUUCUAGAACAAUUAUUCCAAAUCUAUGGCUUCUUCUUCUUUUCUUCUCUCCACUUCAAUUACCGGCUCUAAACUCUCCGCCGCUGCACCACCGCGGAGUUCUGUUAGCUUCAAGCACCGGCCGUUCUCUGUUUCCGCCGCGUACUCCACUGCGGAGAGGACUUCUACUGCUACUACUAGUAGCUCUACAAUCGCCUCACAUACAUCGUUAUACGAAGUUUUAGGGAUUCAAUUUGGAGCUAAUUCUCAUGAAAUUAAGUCUGCUUACCGGAAAUUAGCCAGAAUUUUGCAUCCGGAUGUUCGUAAUUCGUCGGCGGAGGACUUUAUAAGAGUCCAAUCAGCGUAUGCUACUCUUUCCGAUCCGGAAAAACGUGCUAAUUAUGAUCGGAACCUAUUUGGAAAUAGAAUUGCAAGGCCUGUUGAUUUCUCACCGGCGGGAGCUCGCAGCCAUUAUACUGUUCGCCGAGGAUGGG
RNAcentral lists this unclassified non-coding RNA (503 nucleotides) under Hevea brasiliensis (rubber tree). The record is from RNAcentral. Lineage: Eukaryota; Viridiplantae; Streptophyta; Magnoliopsida; Malpighiales; Euphorbiaceae.